UGAGCUGCUUAAACUGGUGCAGCUUUGUAAAUCGACACCUCCAGGCUAAUGAGAGAGGUUUUCCUUCACAGCAAAUUGUUUCAGCUUAUCUUGCAAACGUGAAUUAAGAAGCAUUGGCCCAAACUGCUUUAGUGGCGGAUGAUAAGUGAAAUAAUUUCUUCCACUGGCACAGAGAGAUAUGGAUGGAGGCAUAUUUUUUUUCCCCCACUUGUUUAAAGUGCCAAUUCCAUGUUCAGAUGAGCUUUAAGAUUUCUGCAGUUUCUAGAUCAUCUGAUAACUAUUUAUUUCAAAUUGCAUUUUGAAUGUGACGGGGUGAGAAAUCUAAUUUCAUUUUCAAAAGCAUAACUACUGUUUCUUUCUGAUGGUUGCUUUCCAUAGAUAGAGGCCAAUACUUGCAGGCAAGGUUCGCUUUCGUUUUGUUGUUGUUUGAAGUGGAAAAGGAGCAUGUAUGAAGGAAAGGAGGUGGUGGGGAUAUGGCUCUAGUUGCAGUGAUGCUGUUGCCGAAAGCAGGUACGGUUUUCCUGGUGUCGAGAAGUGGGGCAGAGGUGGACGUCUGCUGCUCGCCUCCUCCAGCAAGGUUAAAAAUAUACUUCCACAAACAGUGGGAACAAAAUCUUUACAGGUACGUAUGAAGUGA
Molecule: long non-coding RNA, 637 nt
Filed under: Anser brachyrhynchus (Pink-footed goose)
Lineage: Eukaryota; Metazoa; Chordata; Aves; Anseriformes; Anatidae
Description: lncRNA (ENSABRG00000004623.1)
Source: RNAcentral